UACGAAGGGGGCUAGCGUUGUUCGGCAUCACUGGGCGUAAAGGGCGCGUAGGCGGCCGAUCAAGUCGGGGGUGAAAGCCUGUGGCUCAACCACAGAAUUGCCUUCGAUACUGUUUGGCUUGAGACCGGAAGAGGUAAGUGGAACUGCGAGUGUAGAGGUGAAAUUCGUAGAUAUUCGCAAGAACACCAGUGGCGAAGGCGGCUUACUGGUCCGGUUCUGACGCUGAGGCGCGAAAGCGUGGGGAGCAAACAGG
Molecule: ribosomal RNA, 253 nt
Filed under: uncultured bacterium
Lineage: Bacteria
Description: partial 16S ribosomal RNA
Rfam family: Bacterial small subunit ribosomal RNA
Source: RNAcentral